Long non-coding RNA from Coccinella septempunctata (seven-spotted ladybird), 1531 nucleotides. RefSeq lists it as uncharacterized. The record is from RefSeq and is a predicted model, not a curated record. Lineage: Eukaryota; Metazoa; Arthropoda; Insecta; Coleoptera; Coccinellidae. The transcript is spliced from 3 exons.
AGUAUCCCAAUACAACUUGUAAUUCUCAUUCUCCAGGAUGUUACAUGGUCGAUAUUCAAAUGGCUUCAUGAUUUUCCUUAUUAGCCCACAUUUCAUGGCAAUUUCCUGGUGAUAGACUCUAGCCAUCGCGUCGUGCCGCUGUGUAUAAUCCACCGGUGCCAAAACAGAGCAGGACGAUGUGACGUGCUGUAUGGACUCAGUCAUCUGGGAGCAUUUUCGGCAUUUGUCUGUUGGUAUAUUCCUUCCCGUAAUGUUCUUGAUAUAUGAUCUCGUCGAAACCACUUGGUCCUGGAUGGCGACUAACCUGCCCUCUGUUUCAGGAAACAGAUAUCCAGCUUUCAGGUAAGUAAGUGAUUCCGACUUAUCAACGUGACUAUUUUUCAGACUCCCAGGGUAUCUUCCGUGGAGCGCCUUGCCGUGCCACUCCUGUAUGAGCCCCUCGUUCGUGAGUCGCACCGGUUCCAGUUGGCCUGCCAAGUUUAACGGACUCAAGUUUUCAUCUGCCUGACAUAGAGCACUGUAGAAAGGUUCUGCAGCCCCCGCCCGCCGUCCCGUCUUGGGAUGUAAAGCCUAUUCACGGACGCAUGUGGAUGGUGAAUGCCAUGUCUGCCUGUCAAAAACCACCAUUAUGCUUUGCCUGAAGUUACCACUCCGAGCUUUGAUCUUGAACUCUGAUGCAAUCUGACGGGUCAGCUUUUCGACUCUAUUGGACGGCGUGUCCGUAUUAAGGUAAGUAUGCAGUAUGCCAAUGCUCCUUCUUAUGUUAUUGAUCUUCUUUUCCAGGCGAUAUUUCCAAGGAGGCGUUGUUUCGCCUUUUUUCGGUAGCGCAUCUUCGAUUUUCAUUCCCAGCUCAGAGCAUACUGUGAGUGCGCCCGCGUACACGAAAUCUGUGAUAUCUUCCAGCUGCAAGGUUGCUGAUAACUUGCUCUUCAUUAUUUCAUCUACCUCCUGUACCCUCUGUAGCAUGAUCCUUGACCCCUUCAUUCUUGGUAUUUUUGGCCUGUUUUCAGGUGUUAUUCCGGCGUACAAUGUAUAGUUCUUGAUUAGAGCUCGCUCUAGUUGGUCUUCUUUUAGUAUGGUCUCUUCUGUUGCCUCUGGAAUUCGGACUGGCGCUUCUUCUGCCAAGUGAUCAUCGCAAUCCAUCACGGCACCCCGCGGAUAGCAGCUGAGCAUGAUACUGUUCAGUUCGGUGUCGGUGAACUUUUCAUUGUUCAAUAGCCAUUUUACUCUGUUGGACAAGAGGUUAGCGUAGGUCUGCUUUUGUGGAUUCAAAUCAUUCCAGAUAUUUGUGAGUGCUUGCCUAUAAUUGCUGUUGGUGUUACGUUCCAAAUCCUUUGCUAUAUAAUGAACACGCAGCAACAGGAUGUUCUCCUCUUCAUUCCAGCGUGCUCGUCCAUCUCGUCUUGGAGCUUCAGCGGGACGAGCUCGACAGCUGUCCAAGCUAAUGCUCCUCCUUUCUCUUCUAGCAGGAACCGAGUUCUGGCUUACGGUGCCAUCUCGGGGGACUACGCCGCUCGCACCGCAGUUUACC